Mesocricetus auratus (golden hamster) is the source of this 3022-nucleotide long non-coding RNA. RefSeq lists it as uncharacterized. The record is from RefSeq and is a predicted model, not a curated record. The transcript is spliced from 3 exons. NCBI's taxonomy places the organism in Eukaryota, Metazoa, Chordata, Mammalia, Rodentia, Cricetidae.
GACUCAAGAAAGAGGAAAGGAUGAGGGAGAAAGAGAGGACACACACGCCCGAGGUCAGAAACCAAGCAGCCACCAGCCAGCCAGAGACUGGAGGAAGCAGGAAAGUAAGAUAUACAGAAAAAGAAAGGUAAAAAGCCCUCAGGCAAAAUGUCGAUGAGAAGAUACAAGAUAAUUUAAGUUGUAAGAGCUGGGGACAAGCAUAAGACAAGACCAACCAUUCAUAACUAAUAAUGUCUCCAUGUCAUGAUUUGGGAGCUGUUUGGUGGACCAAAAGAGAAAGCCUAUUACACCUCUGCAAAAUGACUUUGGAAUAGUGGCGUUUACAUUAAGUGGAAGGUUAACUGAGGAUGAGAUUCUAAGAUGUAGCUUCCAUGAGGUCAUUAUCCACGAUGGACUGAAACUUGAUGAUGUCGUGGUGUUGGAGUCACUCACACCCCUGGGAACAGCCCCUCACCUACUUUCUGUGGAUCGGAUAUAGAAGAUGCUGAAGAUGGAAGAGAUUUAAGAAGGCAGCGGACAAAACUGGUACAGGACCUCGACAGAAGCAAGGUGACAAAUGACAACGUGGACGGACAGAUGGGGCGAUGAAACACCCUCUGAUGUCCUACGGGUGUCUAUGGAGGGUAGCCUGGUGCACACUGACCCAUGUGGGCACUGGCCCUGGCCACUUGGUAAAGGGAAUUGGAAGCCUGAGCUGGAGAUUCGGGGAAGUACUACGGGAAGGAGAAACUGCUCGCUAGGGACUAGAUAUUUACAAUUACUAUUUGAAAAGUCAGAUAUCUCGGAAUUCCUGCAGUUUGACUUAACAACUCGGAAUACAGAAUUUGUUUAAACCUGCAGGUUGCUUUCUGUCUUCUUGCUCAGAUUUUGAGCGCUACAGAGAAGUAUAAAGGCGCCAUCUAGUGGAAAAAUAACAAACUUAAAGUAUUUACAACUCAACAGUCAGUGUCACCUUGAAGAUGAAGCGUCCUUCCCCUCUUCCUCACCCUUCAAAAAGGCUCUGUAAUUGAAAGGCUGUUCUCGGAUGGUGACUUCAUGGUGGGAUCUGCGAAUUUGAGGAGGUGGGAACCACCUGGAGGAAGUAGGUUACUUCUUCCUGGCCUGCUGUCUGGUUCAGGUCCACAAGGGCUCAGUGUUGGGGCCAAGUAACAGUAGAUUGGUUGGACUCAAGCCAUGAGCCAAAAUAAAUCUUACCUUCCCGAGGUUGCUAACGUUGAGUGCUAUGUCUCGGGGACCAGAAAAGAAGCAAUGCAUAGUUUCACACAAUAACAUCCUACAGGUCAAGGCAUGAAAACACUGCAGUUGAGCCCACGUUUUGUAACAGGCGGAAGAAGCUCGUCAGUGACAGCUAGCUCCAGGAGAGAAGGCGAAAGGAGGACGUGCUGGGUACUGCACAGAUGUGCUCCCUUGGUGUGGAGGAGUGAAUCUCCCCAUUGGGUGUUUUGUAGCCCAGAGUAUUUUUAUGUAUGAACUAUGGGCAGGCACCAAAUAUCCAGAAUUAAGGUAUUGCACAUAGCUAAAUACUAAAAAUUUAAAAAGUACACUUUUCUUAGGUACUUCUCAGAGAAGACUGAACUACCUCCUCUCUUUAGUGAUUGCAUCCUAACAUUUUUCUAUAUGAAAUGUAAUAAGUAAGUAAUAAAGGACACUAGCAUUUGUCUGUUGAUUGUGAAGUUGGGACAAUGUUAGUUCCUAGCUCUGUUUUAUCCUAUGAGCAUUUUGGGUCAGUUACUUUGAUCUUUGGGGCUUGUUGUCUUUGCUUUGUCCUGCUCAGAACUGUGUCCCUUUUUACCCUACUCUCUUGGCUUACACUAACUCUUCUCUCUCCACCAUCUCUUAGGACCCUUUGAAUCCUACUUAUUUCAGUUUGGAAGUAUAGAUUUUGCACAACUAUUUUCACUGGCUCAUACUAAAUAGACUAUGACCUUCAUGAAAUGAGGGUAAUUUAUUGACUGAUGCCUAAAUUCCCAAAGCUCAAUAAGACACUAUCACAUAAUUAUGCUCAGUAAAUGAUUUUCACUUUGGAAUAGUUAUUUGUAUAGUUAUUAACACACUGAUUGAAAAUGAUGUGGACACAGUUGAAAUACUACAUUAGAAUAAGGUCCAUGCCAGGACAAAACUCAGGUGUUUAGAGUACAGGGAGCUGUUUGAGGAUGCUGAAGUUUCCACCGAGACCAUGUUUGCUCCUAAAUUACCUUUCCCUGUGCUGUGGCUGUUUCCAACACUCUUUUCUGUUGAGCACAUUCGUUACUUAGCUCUUUAUAGAGGCAAACUCAUUGGUAGAUCUUAGGGAUGCUAGGCUUGCCUACCUCAUCUCCAUCAGUCUGUUUUUUACCUAAACACUGCAAAUGAGAGCAUAGGUUAGGCAGGGAUAGUUUCCCAGGUAAAUCCAUCAAGAUGCAUCUUCCAAGUGCCACUUCCUGGUAAACCACUCUCUCCUAAACACAUAAAAAUUAUGGAGUCUGCAUUCAUACCCUAAAUUGUGCUUGUCCGAACCAAUUUGAGAAAAUACAGAGAGAAAAUUGAAAAAGCCACUGAAGGGAUCAUCCAUUAAAAACACUUGUUGGGUAUACUUGAGGAUUGGAAUUUGAUGCCCAGCAUCCAUGGGAAACCUGUACAGUGGACUUGUCACGUGACUUAAUAGGUACAGACAUUUGCCACCAAGUCUGAACACCUAACACCCAUCUCUGGAUCACAUGUGGUGGAAGGAGAUAAUUGACUAAUGAAGAUUGUCAGUUAAUCUCCACAUAGACUUUAUGACGUGUGUGUUCACUCACACCUGUCACACAGAACGAGGGGAAUAGAAAUUUAAGCUGGGCAUGAUGGCAUGUGUUCUCAAUCCCAGCUUUGGGAGGUGGAGACAGAAAGGACCCUGGACUUGCUGGAUAGCUAGCUUAGCCUAAUUAGGAAGCUCCAAAUUCUAGUAAGAUACUUUGCCAAACAGAGUGAGUGGCUCAUGAAGAACAGUGCAAAAUCUGGUCUUUGCCCUGCCCGUAUUUACACACCUGCACAUACAUGAACA